GACGAACGCUGGCGGCGUGCUUAACACAUGCAAGUCGAACGGAAAGGCCCUGCUUUUGUGGGGUGCUCGAGUGGCGAACGGUGAGUAACACGUGAGUAACCUGCCCUUGACUUUGGGAUAACUUCAGGAAACUGGGGCUAAUACCGGAUAGGAGCUCCUGCUGCAUGGUGGGGUUGGAAAGUUUCGGCGGUUGGGGAUGGACUCGCGGCUUAUCAGCUUGUUGGUGGGGUAGUGGCUUACCAAGGCUUUGACGGGUAGCCGGCCUGAGAGGGUGACCGGCCACAUUGGGACUGAGAUACGGCCCAGACUCCUACGGGAGGCAGCAGUGGGGAAUAUUGCACAAUGGGCGGAAGCCUGAUGCAGCAACGCCGCGUGCGGGAUGACGGCCUCGGUUGUAACCGACUUCGUCCUCGUGACGAAGCGUGAGUGACGGUAA
This 436-nucleotide ribosomal RNA is filed under the name uncultured bacterium. RNAcentral describes it as "bacterial SSU rRNA". It matches the Rfam family "Bacterial small subunit ribosomal RNA", at positions 28 to 478 of the family's 1533-position model. The record is from RNAcentral.